AGUGAAUAGAUACCCUGGUAGUCCCAGCUGUAAACGAUGCGCGUUAGGUGUAUCGGUGACCACGAGUCACCGAGGUGCCGAAGAGAAAUCGUGAAACGUGCCGCCUGGGAAGUACGGUCGCAAGGCUGAAACUUAAAGGAAUUGGCGGGGGAGCACCACAACAGGUGGAGCCUGCGGUUUAAUCGGACUCAACGCCGGGAAGCUCACCGGAUAAGACAGCUGAAUGAUAGCCGGGUUGAAGACUCUGCUUGACUAGCUGAGAGGAGGUGCAUGGCCGUCGUCAGUUCGUACUGUGAAGCAUCCUGUUAAGUCAGGCGACGAGCGAGACCCACGCCAACAGUUGCCAGCAUGUCCUCCGGGAUGGUGGGGACACUGUUGGGACCGCCUCUGCUAAAGAGGAGGGAGGAAUGGGCAACGGUAGGUCAGCAUGCCCCGAAUUAUCCGGGCUACACGCGGGCUACAAUGGUCAGGACAAUGGGUAUCAACACCGAAAGGUGAAGGCAAUCUCCUAAACCUGUCCUUAGUUCGGAUU
This 532-nucleotide ribosomal RNA is filed under the name uncultured bacterium. RNAcentral describes it as "bacterial SSU rRNA". It matches the Rfam family "Archaeal small subunit ribosomal RNA", at positions 725 to 1255 of the family's 1478-position model. The record is from RNAcentral.